This is a long non-coding RNA of Helianthus annuus (common sunflower), 295 nucleotides long. RefSeq lists it as uncharacterized. The transcript is spliced from 3 exons. Lineage: Eukaryota; Viridiplantae; Streptophyta; Magnoliopsida; Asterales; Asteraceae. The record is from RefSeq and is a predicted model, not a curated record.
UAGCUCAAGUGUUCCAUACAUAGUCAAACAUCCCAAUUAAAUUUCUUCCGCUCAAGCAAUCACACGGGUCUUUUUAUGUUCAUAGAAGAGUGGUUCUGACGGGUGAGAUAGAGGUUGUAAGUUCAUCAUGGAGUCAAGAUGUUAGAUUUAGACUCUCAUGAAAGACCUUGCAAAAUUGCAAGUUGAGAAUAACCAACUUCCAACAUUGAAGGUCAAUAGAUGAUAUUGCAAUCUGCUUUUUCUAGCAUUAUUAUUUUGUAAGAUGUUAUUACAUUCAUGUUGGUGCCCAAUCAAA